UUUCAAGUUUCUCUCAAAGCCUUCUUCAGAAAUUCAAGAUAAAAUGAGUCUAGCUUAACCCCUCCAAGGACCGAAGCCUGAAAAUGAUCUCUCCUUCUCUCUCUUGAGUUCCACAUCAUAUGCAAAAGAUGGGGCACCUAUGUAAUGUAAUACAUAGCUUGAAGCCAGCGAUUGUAAUGGUAGUGGUUCAGAUUACACACGCAGGGAUGAAUAUAUUGUUCAAACUUUUAGCAGACGAUGGAAUGCAUUUGAGGGUCCUUAUUGCCUACCGAAUGUUGUUUGCCACUGCCUUCAUGGUUCCUCUUGCUCUCAUCUUUGGAAGGAAGACCAGGCCAAAACUAACAUGGGUAGUAAUGUUCAAGGCUUUUCUUUGUGGGUUAUUUGGGUAAGGUACACUAAAUCAAAAUCUAUAUUUUGAGAGCUUUGCCUUCACGUCAGCAACAGUUUCUGUAGCCAUGAGUAAUCUCAAUCCAGCCAUUACCUUCGUUUUGGCAAUUUCUGUCGGGUUGGAAAAGCCUGCGCUAAGAACAUUGGCUGGGAAACUGAAAAUGGCGGGGACAAUGGUAGGGAUAGGUGGGGACAAUGCUAUUCACUUUAUACAGAGGUGUGGAAAUUGACUUGUGGUCAACGCACGUUGACCUUUUACAUCAUGAUCAUCAACAACACGUGGCACCAUCACACCAGGGGAGCUCUAGCCGUCAAGUAAUUGGCACCCUAUUGUGUUUAGCCAGCAGUUUAUCCUAUGCAAUGUGGUUGAUAAUCCAGGCAAAAAUGAUUGAAAGCUAUCCAUGCCUUUAUUCCAGCACAGCUCUCAUAUGUACAAUGAGUUUCAUGCAGUCUAUUGUUUUUGCCUUAUGCACUGAAAGAGAUUGGAGUCGGUGAAAGUUGGGCUGGAAUCUUAGGCUCCUUACAGCAGCUUAUUCGGGGAUUGUGUCUUCUGGUUUGGUGGUGGCUCUAAUUGUUUGGUGUAUACAAGAAAGAGGUCCAUUGUUUGUCUGAAUCUUCAAUCCUAUUUUCUCUCUUAAUCGUAGCACUUGCAGGAUCUUUAGUAUUGGAGGAAGAGCUGCACCUAGGAAGUAUACUAGGAGCGGCUUUGAUCGUGUGCGGGUUGUACAUGGUGUUGUGGGGUAAAAGCAAGGAAAUGAAGAUUAUAAAUCAACCAGAGCCAUCAAAAAGUUCCCAAGAAUCUCACUCUCAAUUGAGUGAGACUGCUACCGCAACUGCAAUAAAUAAUAACAACAGUGGCAACAAUGGAAGCAUUACAAGUAGGGGUGUGUAG
RNA transcript from Quercus lobata, 1279 nucleotides. It is a transcript of the gene named WAT1-related protein At1g25270-like, with no coding region annotated. The record is from RefSeq and is a predicted model, not a curated record. The transcript is spliced from 8 exons. Lineage: Eukaryota; Viridiplantae; Streptophyta; Magnoliopsida; Fagales; Fagaceae.